RNAcentral lists this ribosomal RNA (493 nucleotides) under uncultured bacterium. Its description in RNAcentral is "partial 16S ribosomal RNA". It matches the Rfam family "Bacterial small subunit ribosomal RNA", at positions 29 to 523 of the family's 1533-position model. The record is from RNAcentral.
AUUGAACGCUGGCGGCAUGCUUUACACAUGCAAGUCGAACGGUAACAGGUUAAGCUGACGAGUGGCGAACGGGUGAGUAAUGCAUCGGAACGUGCCCGGUCGUGGGGGAUAACGCAGCGAAAGCUGCGCUAAUACCGCAUACGAUCUGAGGAUGAAAGCGGGGGACCGUAAGGCCUCGCGCGAUCGGAGCGGCCGAUGUCAGAUUAGGUAGUUGGGGGGGUAAAGGCUCACCAAGCCAACGAUCUGUAGCUGGUCUGAGAGGACGACCAGCCACACUGGGACUGAGACACGGCCCAGACUCCUACGGGAGGCAGCAGUGGGGGAUUUUGGACAAUGGGCGAAAGCCUGAUCCAGCAACGCCGCGUGCAGGAAGAAGGCCUUCGGGUUGUAAACUGCUUUUGUACGGAGCGAAAAGGUCUCCUCUAAUACAGGGGGCUCAUGACGGUACCGUAAGAAUAAGCACCGGCUAACUACGUGCCAGCCGCCGCGGUAA